AGGAUUAACAUUUCCAUAAUUUGGAUAACCUUGAUUCACCUGAUUAGUAGUUUGAUACUGAGGAUACGACAUAUUCAUCUGAUUAUUAUUAGGAUAAUUCUGGGUUUGGUUAUUCCACUGUUGAGCAGAGCUUCCAAAAUCCUUAUUUUGCGGAACCUCAGAAGGAUGUGGAGGAAUUUGAGCAUCAUUUGGUGCUGCAAAUGUUGCUAGGGUUUUCAAAUGUAAGGAAGAAAGCGGGGAGCUUAAGGUUAGGGUUUUCGGGAGCUUGAUAUCGGAAAUAGAGCGUGAAGAAGAGUAUAACAAACAUACCUUGUGCGAAGAAGUGAAAAUGGAGACUCGAGUUCUGCG
RNAcentral lists this unclassified non-coding RNA (348 nucleotides) under Hevea brasiliensis (rubber tree). The record is from RNAcentral. Lineage: Eukaryota; Viridiplantae; Streptophyta; Magnoliopsida; Malpighiales; Euphorbiaceae.